This is a long non-coding RNA of Acyrthosiphon pisum (pea aphid), 433 nucleotides long. RefSeq lists it as uncharacterized. The transcript has 3 exons. Lineage: Eukaryota; Metazoa; Arthropoda; Insecta; Hemiptera; Aphididae. The record is from RefSeq and is a predicted model, not a curated record.
UUUAAAUACCCAAAAGGUCCUAUAUAACUAAUAACGAUGAUAAACAUGCAUAUUAUACAACUUGAAUGUUUAAUGUGUUUCAUUUCACCAUAAUAUUGUAGUUUACAUUUGAAUAAUAAAAUGAAUAGUUUAGUAGUGGUUAAAAUUUGUUUUUUUUUAUUACAUAUAUUCAUUUUGAUCAACCUAACUGCAGCAAUUUGUGGGCUCGGAAGUUGUAGGAGAUAAAAAAGGCAAAAUAUGAACAGAACAAUUGUAAGAUAUGCAUGAAAAAUAUUAAAUAUGCAAAAAAAAUUAAUUUGGAUACGCAUUUACCUUCUCAACAAGAAGCUGAUCAUAUGAAGGAUAUAAAUCACGGUUAUGUUCUUUAGCGUUUUUACGGAGCAUAUUGUAUUGGAAUUUCGGUAACGAACAUGCAAUAAUUAAAGACAGAGCU